This 57-nucleotide transfer RNA is filed under the name Ovis aries (sheep). It matches the Rfam family "tRNA", at positions 8 to 63 of the family's 71-position model. Rfam says of the family: Transfer RNA (tRNA) molecules are approximately 80 nucleotides in length. Lineage: Eukaryota; Metazoa; Chordata; Mammalia; Artiodactyla; Bovidae. The record is from Rfam by way of RNAcentral.
UGGCUCAGACGGUAAAGCAUCUGUCUAUGAUGCAGGAGACCCAGGUUCGAUCCCUGG